UACGUAGGGUGCAAGCGUUGUCCGGAAUUAUUGGGCGUAAAGAGCUCGUAGGCGGUCUGUCGCGUCGGCUGUGAAAACCCGAGGCUCAACCUCGGGCCUGCAGUCGAUACGGGCAAACUAGAGUACUGCAGGGGAGACUGGAAUUCCUGGUGUAGCGGUGAAAUGCGCAGAUAUCGGGAAGAACACCCGUGGCGAAGGCGGCUCUCUGGGACGGUACUGACGCUGAGACGCGAAAGCGUGGGGAGCAAACAGG
Molecule: ribosomal RNA, 253 nt
Filed under: uncultured bacterium
Lineage: Bacteria
Description: partial 16S ribosomal RNA
Rfam family: Bacterial small subunit ribosomal RNA
Source: RNAcentral